UUGAGCCUUUUUCACUGCAGCCACAGGACUUCAUGUCUGGCUUUGCAAGGCAGUUUGGGUGUUCUAGGAUAAGCCCAUAUCCAGUCAUUAACAUCAGCUGUGUUUGACUCAAUGAUUUUAGAGCUCUUUUCCAAGCUAAACAAAUCUGUGAUUCUCUGUGUCUGGAUUGCACUCCAGUGAGCACAGGCUUCCUGCAACAGCCAGGUCUUGGUAGAGUAGUGCUAUCCUUUGAAACCUGAAAAAUAAAUACUUGGUAAAUAUAAAUAGCUUAGGUAAGCCUUUGUCAUAUAUGUUCUAGGACUAAUCUGCUCUGAAGACCUAUUGUUCUGGCAAGGACUCACCACCAGUAGCAAAGCAGACCUCAGAUCAAAAGGCAUCAGUGUUGCACUUUUAUGCUCCUGUCCUCUGGAAAAUAUGAUCUUCCCUUCAAAGCUUGACCUUAAUUUUACUGGGAAAUCUGGUAUGGAUAGUAGUAACCUCUCAAACUGUGUGAUCCCUUGUGGGUGCUGACAGAGUGCCCAUAAUCCCAAGGCUGUAAAAGCCAUGAUUUAUUUUACUGCUGAUCAGAGACACAGAAUGCCAACAGGACCUCAGAGACUGGACUGAUCCUGGUGGGAGUAUGACUGAGGAAGGUCCUUGGGACAUUCACUAACCAACUCUCUAAAGAAAGGGCUGCCCUCUGCUGUCACUUGGCUUUUUUCAAGAUAUGUUUAGCACAAAGGUAGGUGAACUGACUUGAAGACCAAGAGCAACGUUGCUGCCAAGAUCGUGAGGGGAGUGAUUGAUAAACUCAAGUCAAAAGUCUGGCUUGUACCCACACCAAGGCCCCUCUUGUUGAGUGUUCAGAUACUUGGUGGUGCUUUCAGGAGGAACAAAAUGGCUUUCAUCUGGGAUCACCAAACAGCUCUCCAGAGAUGUCUGCUCAGUGUCCACAGGAAGCUCUUGCCCGGACACUGAAGACUUUGAGCACACAUUGUGCCUUGCACAGCAACAUGGCUGGAGCCUGAUUGCCUUAAAACUCCUGUCCUAUGCUCACAGUGCACAUAAGCUUGCUGCCCUGUGCCCUGCCCUGAAGCACUUCCUUUCUUUGGCAAUCUCCUAAAUUCUAGUUGAUCUCCUUCCCAUGACUUCAGACCUCAGCUCUUCCCUUUCUGCCACAAUGCCCCAGUCAGUGCCUGCUGCCUUGCCAGAAGCUUGCUCAGAAGGUUUUCAGGCUGGGGCCAAGAAAAACAGAUCAAUUCUCCCCGAGUAUGUGUGUUAAUGCUUGUGUGUCUCCUCUCAGCUGCUGUUUUUCCCAAAGUCUGCCAGAACAUCAUGCCUCAGAGACCCUCACUUGAAGUCCAGCAUGGAUGUGUUUGGAUCCAACAAGUCAGUGAAGGUCACUGGCAGUGGAAGCCUGAACACCCAUCUCCAUUGCACACAGCCUUGCUUCCUUAAGCAAGAAGACAGAGAAAUAUCAGGCCUGCAAGGAAGGCAUAAUUAAGUGUAUCCUGACUGAAAGUUCAGGUGUAUUAGUAAGAACACAAUGCCCAGCAUGGUCCCUUGCAUGUACUUCCAAAAAAUUAUUAUAAAUAUAUUUUGAUAAAUAAUAACAGCA
Non-coding RNA from Lonchura striata (white-rumped munia), 1597 nucleotides. NCBI's taxonomy places the organism in Eukaryota, Metazoa, Chordata, Aves, Passeriformes, Estrildidae. The record is from RefSeq and is a predicted model, not a curated record.